Molecule: long non-coding RNA, 914 nt
Organism: Strongylocentrotus purpuratus (purple sea urchin)
Lineage: Eukaryota; Metazoa; Echinodermata; Echinoidea; Camarodonta; Strongylocentrotidae
Exons: 2
Source: RefSeq, a predicted model, not a curated record
AUAUCACACCAAAGCAUCUCAAUCUGACAGCACGAUGUGGAGAAAAGUUAAUGGUGUAGAUAAAUACUCAAGAAAUAUGUUCAUCGGCAGUCUAAGUCAAUCAUUUAUAAAACUGAGGCUUUGCCAAGGCAUCCAUUUUAAGUAUGUGUCUAUAUGGCAAAUAAGAUGUAGUCAAGUACUCAAGUUACCACCUGUCAGCCAAGAUCAAACUUUUGGAAUAUAAGAGUUUUGGGGAGGGGUCAUCUUUUAUCAAUUUCUGUUUAUUGAUAAUAAUUAUAACAUUUGGGAAUGGGCCUAUGAGUCUGAUAUACCUUGGUGCGUGUGUGGACCACGGAGUAACCAUCACACUAAAGGAUGUUAUAUACUAUUGUACAGUAUUAUUGUUUCUCUGGAAAAAAUUGCAAUCAUUGAGUCAUAGGUAUUUUUUUUUUUUUUAAAGAAAUCAGCAUGUUUUUAUAAUGUGUUUUAUAAUAAGGGUGCAGGUCAUGAUACAAUACAUUCCCUGGAGAAAAAACAGUGCUCAGAUUUAGCCUAAGUAUGCUUUGUUGAAUUUUUAAAGAAAAAAGUAAUCUACAAAUGGAAGUAGCAGAUGAGGUCAUUUGUGCUUAAUAUUUGACCAUCAAUGUUAUAAUCUGUAAACAUAUUAGUUUGUUGUAAUAAAAAUGAAUAAAUUAAACAUGUUUAUUAUCUUAUAUACAGUAUUCCCUUCAUAUCUUUUCUUUUUAGUGUGCAUAUAUGGUUGGAUAAAUGGAAUCAUAUGUGUAAAAAAUCUGGAAACAGAACGUGAGAGUUCAGAGAGAGAGAGAGAGCAAAAGAGAAAGGAAAGGAAAUGAGAGAACUGUUUAAUGGUGAGAGAUGUUGAUGUCGUGAAAAUGAAAAAUUUAUAAUGCAGUGAGACAGCGAGAGAGAAAAAA